Erinaceus europaeus (western European hedgehog) is the source of this 953-nucleotide long non-coding RNA. RefSeq lists it as uncharacterized. NCBI's taxonomy places the organism in Eukaryota, Metazoa, Chordata, Mammalia, Eulipotyphla, Erinaceidae. The record is from RefSeq and is a predicted model, not a curated record. The transcript is spliced from 4 exons.
CCCCCUCCGCGUCCCAAACUGCGCACAAUGGCUCGCCGGUUCCUCUAUCUAUUUUGUGUCCAGCCGCGAGCCGCGCGCGCGAUGAUUCAUUGCCCCAAUUAGGGGCUCUCUCCGGCGCGCCCGGAUUGAGCCGUCUGAAGGGUCUCCCGGGGGACCCGCGCCAACCCUGCGGCGGCGCGGGAGCCGAGCUCUAAGGAAAGGUCAAGCAGGUCUCGGGAGGUGCCAGGACACAUGCUGUAUCAUGCACAAGCCCUGGAUUUGAACCCUGACAUCAUAUGAGAACACCAUAGCACCAGGGGAAGAUCCACAGAACUGACUAAGAAAGGUGAAGACAACGGUCUCUGCUUCCAGCCCGGUUCCACCCAACUGACUGGAUGAGCUUGGGUGAUGAGAGAAACAGAGAGAAGAGAUACCACAGCGCUGCUCUACCACUCAUGUGGUGCGGCUUCCCACCUGCAGGUGUUCCCCUGUGGUGGUCAGGGACUUGAACCCAGGUCUUCAUGUAUGCAGCAGCAGUAGCAACAAUGGAAAAAGAUGACCCUCCAGGAGUGCUUUGUUGUGAUUGUUUCUGGAUCUAUGCACAGUUCAGCUCUGGCUCUCAGCGGUGCCAGGGAUGGAACCAGGGACCUCUAGAAUGCAAGUUCUGCUUAUUGUCCUUGUGUCAUUGCCCCGAAGGCAUAUUUUUAAGAAACAUCCUUACAUGGCAAAACAAUAAGCGGCAAUCCUCUGUUGGUCCCUAAAACUAAGGGAGAAACAAAAAAAGUGGAUUCUAGCCCCAGCAAUAACCCUGGAGGCAAAAAUAAAUAAAAUAAAAAAAUUAAAAAUCUCUCUAACACAGUUGGGGAGGUGUACUUCAGUGGAGCACAGGACUUGCAGCUAUCUCUCACAUGUACUCAUAAAAUGAAAGAACGUUUUACAAAUAAAAAGUGACAAAUAAAAGGAUGCUGCCUUUA